GUGGUGUCUGAAAGUAGGCAAGGUUGGCACUCCCCUUGUUCAGGAGGGAAGAGGUCCUAGCGGCCUGUGCAAUAUGCAUACUUUUACGCAUGGUCACUUACUUGGUGACACCUAACCAAGUUUUACU
Small nuclear RNA from Sphaerodactylus townsendi, 127 nucleotides. NCBI's taxonomy places the organism in Eukaryota, Metazoa, Chordata, Lepidosauria, Squamata, Sphaerodactylidae. The record is from RefSeq and is a predicted model, not a curated record.